Cynoglossus semilaevis (tongue sole) is the source of this 462-nucleotide long non-coding RNA. RefSeq lists it as uncharacterized. The transcript has 3 exons. NCBI's taxonomy places the organism in Eukaryota, Metazoa, Chordata, Actinopteri, Pleuronectiformes, Cynoglossidae. The record is from RefSeq and is a predicted model, not a curated record.
UCUCCACGGGGAAGACGUCCCCCAGGCCGUACAGCAGAACCUUGGCCAGAGCCGGGACCAGCUGAGUGGUGGUGACCAGCACGUUCAUGCACUUCCCCCUGCAGGUGGACGUCACACAGACACACACGGCCUCAUUUAGAAGGAAAUCCUGCUCUGUGGUUCUGUGGUUCUGACCUGGACUGGAUCAUCAGCAGAGACUUGAGCGCCGUGCUGAGCCAGGCGUCUGUGACGUUCUCAAUCUGAGACUGAAGUGACGUCAGCCCGUCCCUCUUCACAGGACUCAGCAGACCUGGAGGACGACGACAGUAAGAACAGAAAACACUGACUGAUUGGUUGGUUGGUUUCCACCUCCGCGGUGAGCGUCACCACGGUCUGACUUUACCUCCAGGUCGUUGAAGAACAGAUGAGUGUCUGCCAGCUCAAAGAUCAGCUCCUCCAUCUGCAGCCCCAUCUUCAGCACCG